CCCACUAUGCUCAACCGUAAACACAGAUGGGACCACACACACCCCCAUCCGCCAGAGAAGUACAAGAAAAACUUAAAACUCAAAGGACUUGACGGUGUCCCAAACCAACCUAGAGGAGCCUGUCCUAUAAUCGAUACUCCACGCUACACCUCACCCCCUCUUGCAACCAGUCUGUAUACCGCCGUCUCCAAGUUCGCCUUAUGAUAGGACAACAGCGAGCAAGCCAGCCCACCACUAAGACGACAGGUCAAGGUGCAGCCUAUGAGGGGGCAGCGAUGGGCUACAUUUUCUGACAAACAGAACAUCACCUCCAGCCAAAUGAAACAAUAGGCCUAAAGGCGGAUUUAGCAGUAAGCCAAACAAGAACGUCUGACUGAAACCUGCUCUGGGACGCGUACACCAGAGAAGUACAAGAAAAACUUAAAACUCAAAGGACUUGACGGUGUCCCAAACCAACCUAGAGGAGCCUGUCCUAUAAUCGAUACUCCACGCUACACCUCACCCCCUCUUGCAACCAGUCUGUAUACCGCCGUCUCCAAGUUCGCCUUAUGAUAGGACAACAGCGAGCAAGCCAGCCCACCACUAAGACGACAGGUCAAGGUGCAGCCUAUGAGGGGGCAGCGAUGGGCUACAUUUUCUGACAAACAGAACAUCACCUCCAGCCAAAUUGAAACAAAGGCCUAAAGGCGGAUUUAGCAGUAAGCCAAACAAGAACGUCUGACUGAAACCUGCUCUGGGACGCGUACACACCGCCC
This 755-nucleotide ribosomal RNA is filed under the name Tarentola boettgeri hierrensis. Its description in RNAcentral is "partial 12S ribosomal RNA". Lineage: Eukaryota; Metazoa; Chordata; Lepidosauria; Squamata; Phyllodactylidae. The record is from RNAcentral.